Molecule: long non-coding RNA, 243 nt
Filed under: Trifolium pratense (red clover)
Lineage: Eukaryota; Viridiplantae; Streptophyta; Magnoliopsida; Fabales; Fabaceae
Description: long non-coding RNA (TPRA_LNC006837)
Source: RNAcentral
AAUUAACCUAAGGGACCAAAAGUAUAAUUUAGCCUAAGUUUUAUUUUAAAAAAACAACCAUAUUCUUAGAAGUGGGGAAUACAUGGUUCGAACUCCGACCCCUCCAAUAAUAAGUAAAUAGUCAUUUAUAUAAGUAAACAUAAAGGUUAAAUUGUUCUUUAUAUGUACUUCUUGAGUACUUCUAGUUUAUUUGUACAUUCAAUCAUGAUAUAUAAUUAAACAUUGCAGACAACGAAGCCUAGA